RNAcentral lists this ribosomal RNA (253 nucleotides) under uncultured bacterium. RNAcentral describes it as "partial 16S ribosomal RNA". It matches the Rfam family "Bacterial small subunit ribosomal RNA", at positions 524 to 776 of the family's 1533-position model. The record is from RNAcentral.
UACGGAGGGUGCAAGCGUUGUCCGGAUUUAUUGGGUUUAAAGGGUGCGUAGGCGGGUUAAUAAGUCAGUGGUGAAAGCCGGCAGCUCAACUGUCGAAUUGCCAUUGAUACUGUUAACCUUGAGUAUAGUUGAGGUAGGCGGAAUGAGUCGUGUAGCGGUGAAAUGCAUAGAUAUGACUCAGAACACCGAUAGCGUAGGCAGCUUACUAAGCUAUAACUGACGCUGAGGCACGAAAGCGUGGGGAGCGAACAGG